GAAAGCGAUGCUAAUACCGGAUGACAUCAUGAAAACUUCGGUUUUAAUGAUCAAAGGUGGCCUCUACAUGUAAGCUUCCGAUUGAGGAUGAGCCCGCGUACCAUUAGCUUGUUGGUGAGGUAAAGGCUCACCAAGGCGACGAUGGGUAGCCGGCCUGAGAGGGUGAUCGGCCACAAGUGGGACUGAGAUACGGCCCAGACUCCUACGGGAGGCAGCAUUAGGGAAUAUUGCGCAAUGGACGAAAGUCUGACGCAGCAACGCCGCGUGAGCGAUGAAGGUCUUCGGAUCGUAAAGCUCUGUCAGAGGGGACGAACCGCCCCGCGUCGAAUAGACUCGGGGUCUGACGGUACCCUCAGAGGAAGCACCGGCCAACUCCGUGCCAGCAGCCGCGGUAAUACGGAGGGUGCAAGCGUUGUUCGGAUUUACUGGGCGUAAAGCGCGUGCAGGCGGGUCACCAAGUCUCGUGUGUAAUCUUUCGGCUUAACCGGNAAAACUGCACGGGAAACUACUGAUCUUGAAUGCGAGAGA
RNAcentral lists this ribosomal RNA (528 nucleotides) under uncultured bacterium. RNAcentral's name for it is "bacterial SSU rRNA". It matches the Rfam family "Bacterial small subunit ribosomal RNA", at positions 153 to 655 of the family's 1533-position model. The record is from RNAcentral.